UUUUUUUUUUUUUUUCAGAGCCACACCUGUAGCAUAUGGAGGUUCCCAGGCUAGGGGUUGAAUUGGACCUAUAGCUGCCGGCCUAUGCCACAGGCACAGCAACACAGGAUCCGAUGCGAGUCUUCGACCUACACCACAGCUCAUGGCAACACCGGAACCUUAACUCACUGAGUGAGAACAGAGAUCAAACCCGCAUCCUCAUGGAUACUAGUGUGGUUCAUAACACACUGAGUCACAAUGGGAACUCCCUAGUUAUGUAACAACUUUUUAAUGUCGUCCUUUCAGAAGUUUAGAUUUCAUAAAUCAGAGUAUUUUAUAGCAAGGAAUUCCUGUCCUAUGGCUUGAGAACUAUUCUUACCUCCUACCACUUUCUCUAUAUAGAUACUAUAGUAAAUAUCUAUAAAUGUCAACAUUUCAUGGUACCAUCACACCCUUGAAAGUUUAUCUGAAUGCAAACCAUUAUGGUUUUAGGGUGAAAAUGACAGAAUCAAGGCUGUGAGUCUACUUACAGAUUUGGGGAAAAAAAAAAAAAUCAGAUGCUUGUAGGUAUUGGCCCUUCAAUGGUAAAAUGCCAGCUGCCAACUAGAGUUCUUUUCUAAUUGCCUUUGUGUAUAAGCCACCAAAACACAAAGUUCAGAUCCAGGUAAAAACCCUCCAGUAGUGUAAAAGAGGAGACUAGGAUGAAAGAGUGUAUUUGUAUUGUUGGUGGUUCCAGUGCUUUGACAGGAGCAAGAGUACCUCAAACAGGACACAGUCUAGAUGAAUAGGAAACAUGUUAUCAAAGCAAGCCUUCAAAGGCUGUAUUUGUUGAGAAAUCAUUAGUUAUUUUUAUUCCUAUGAUACAUCUUCUCUGGUGAUGGAAACUCCUUAUUUAUUUAUUUUUUCAGAAACUAAAACACAAAAGGAAACUGAAAAAGCUACAAACUGAUUUGGCAACAGCUAAGCAAGAGGCUGCCAUUACGGUCUUGGAACUCAAUGAGAAGAUAAAGGCUCUAUGUGAAGGAAAGCCAGUCCCUAGAGGUCAGUGUUACCAUGUGACAGUCACACUGUGGCCAAUGGUCUUGGAUGAUGCAUACAGAUUUACUGGCAACAAAGCAAAAGGUAAGGUCACAGUGCCAGGCAGUGUACCGGGCCAGCAGCGUGCUGGCCUGGCCCAACCUCCGUCUGCAUGAUUAGAGACAGCACACAAACUCCUAACUCCAGGCUGGUGGCUUUCCGCGUCUGAGGGGUAGGAGGAUGUAUUGACGGUUGUUUAAAGCAAAGUCUCUGAGGCUGAAGCACUGGACUCAAACACGUCUCUAAGUAUGCUGCUGGGCAGCAGGGGAGGAAGUGCAGGGCCCAGGGGAGGAAAUCUGAGGCUCUAGGGAUGGAGUUCUCAUAGUGGGGCAAGGAGUGGGGCUUACGUAAAAGUGUAGACUGGCCAAUAAGCUAAGAUAGGCACGGGGAAGGAAAGAAAUUCGUGUUGUAACCAUAGCCGAAUGAGCCAGAAACAGGCGGGGUAGGUGGGUCGGGAUGAAAUCUGGGUGGUUCAGAAACAUUUAAUAGCUGCUUCGGUUUGGAUUUUUUUUUUAAGGCUUCUCUAAGAUUAUAAACACAUUUGGAGGGCAAGGGGGAACCCAAUGUGAGGGUUAUCAGCACUAAUAUGAGUUAACAUUUAAUACUAUUUGUAAGGAAUUUUGCUAAACAUCUCACCUAUACUUAAUUCUCAGAAUAACCUCUGAAGCUAGGGCAUUUAUGGAUUCCACAAGAAUAAGCACAGGCUUAGAGAUGUGGAUUAUUGCCUUGCCCCAGGUCAGGUGUGUGAGCAACACCUGGGCAGUCACCCAGGGCGCCUGCGCAGCUCUGGGGCAGUGAGGCCAUUUCUCUGCUAUGCUGUAGCUACAGUAAAGCUCAUUCUGCCUGGUGGAUCGCUUGCAAAACCAUGGUUCCCUGGGAUGAAUGUCUUCCUUUGAUGUGCGGCACUCUUGUAAAGCCAGGAACAGGCAAUUGUUCUUACUCCAGCUUCCUUUAUUACUCAUAAGUAAUUAUGGAAAAAGAGGAGGAGCAUGGAAAUAGUGUGUGUGGCGGGCGGGCAGGGGGGACACGUAAGUGAUGCGGUAGCUGCAAAAAGUGAGACACUCCCAGCAUCCUGACCACAUGGGAAAGCGUUUAAGAUGAGUUUACUUUUAACUUUCAUUUUUGAACAGCACUUUCCCGACACUGAAAUGGCACGUGACACAGUCACCUUGAGACACGUGUUUUUCUCUUUCCACAAGCCAACAUAAAGACACUUAAUUUGCUUUUACCACCUUGAAAGCUAAAAGAAUAACCUCCAUUAGAAAAUAUUAUUCAUCUAAAGGUCUUUAUUCUAAGGCAUCAUAGCCAGAUUUCAGGUUGGUUGUACAAUGAGCUGACCGUGAUUGUACAGCACAUUGGAGAAAGUUCUCCAGCUCACCUAAGAGAAGCUUUCAACUUCUCGACUGUAUUUUGAAUCUGGUGGGGGAAAAAUAAAUUUUAUUGCAAGGUAUCUAAUUCUCAUUACUCUCAUUUUUGACAAAAAUAAUAUUAUUUGGUAUCAAAUGAUAUUUUUGUCCCUUUGAUGUUUUGACAAGUCAAAGUUAAAAUUAUACUGAAGUACCAGGAUUCUAAUGGUGGUGGAGAGGUUUGAAAACAUUAAAUCCCAACUUUCUUUGUAUUUUUUCCCUGUACAUUUACAUUUAAAAGGAAAAAAACUACCAGUACAGGGAAAAGAAAAUAAAACGAAACAACCUAAUGUCUUUUGAACAGACAGACAUAAAUUUUAAAAAAGCCAAGUCCUUCAAGGUCAAUUACAGAUGAAAGGAGUAACUCCAUUUGAACCUACAUGUUGCUUCUUUUACUUGGUGGAGAAACUGAGUCAGCGGAUUGACAAGCAGCACUAAAGUCUUAAACUGAGUAUUUACACAAUCUUACUCUCCCCCGGGUCUCAUACAGCCACACCUCACAUUCAAUGGGCCAGGAGAUAGUCACGGCUGUUGUGGCCCCAGGGUAUUAUUAGCUGUCAUUCUCAGACUUUGGUCACCUUGCUCUACUUCUUAACUCAUCUGAAAGUAAAGCCUGAAAGGAUGUAGGUAACUUUAACACACAAUGACUCCCAUUUAACCACUGAACAAUUAGAGUUGACCCACCUCCCCCACACAUUCCUUGACCAGAACACCACUCCUUCCCUAGUUAGUCUUGGGUCCUGUUAUAAAAUGUUGGCCUUUGGUUCUCAGACCUCUGUUUGCAAAUGUCAGAUGCCCCCCCUCAAAAUAGCUUAAGGAGAACUGGUAAUUUAGUGGCACAAGUGUAAACCGACUAACAAAGGGCAUGCCAUCUGCUUUCGAGUCCCACUGGUCAAGGUCUCAGAUGCCCUCAAGGACACGCUGUGUUUUCUGCUUCUCUCUGCAUUGAGAUGUUCCUUCUCUCCUAUGCGAUGUCAGGAGAGACAGGAAACAGGGCCACAAGCAACUAAGGGCUGCCCUCCUUACCUCCCCUCCAGGAGGAAAAAAAGCAUUUUCCUAUCAGCUCCAGUUUUUUAAAAAAGUAUAAGAAGGAACUCUGACAUGGCUUGGCUUGGGUAUUCAUGAGGGAACAUGAAUCACUCCUCAUGGCCAGGAGUGAGGAAGUAUGGUUGGACAAGCUUCGAUCAUGCACCAGCCACUGAGAAAUCAAGAUGGGAAAGAAGAAUGUGGUGACUCGUGGCUCCCACCAGAAGCAAAGGGCUGGAUUAGAAGAACACUUCCUUCAAGGAAAGGGUACCCAUUGCAGGAAAGACCAACACGUCCCAUACACUCUCAGCUAAUGAUCAAGUUAAAAAUGCAAUAAAAUGGGAGUUCCCGUCGUGGCGCAGUGGUUAACGAAUCCGACUAGGAACCAUGAGGUUGCGGGUUCGGUCCAUGCCCUUGCUCAGUGGGUUAACGAUCCGGCGUUGCCGUGAGCUGUGGUGUAGGUUGCAGAAGCGGCUCAGAUCCAGCGUUGUUGUGGCUCUGGCUCAAUUCUUCUCGAUGAACAAAGAUUAUGAUCCAAUUCAUCAUCCAAGAAAUAAAUGUCCAACAGCAUAAUUUCAGACCCCGCAGUAGAUGGAGAGUGAACCACUUUGGAAAAGGAGUCCCCUUCCAGCCUCCAUCAGGCGACCUCAUGGUCACCUACUCUGAAGACCUGUCUUUCUAUAGUAAUUGAAACUGCAAGAGGGAGAAAAAGGUGUUGAUUCUAAGUGACAUGUUACGUGGAUUAGCAUAAAGUGACUUCUCUGCUACAGUUACAAAGCAGUGCCUAUAGUGAUCCUAAGCAGAUCAAUGAGAUACAGCCAAAGAAGUUAGAAUUUCAUUUUUAUGCAAAUAUGCAAAAAAAUUUUCCCGGUUUUGCUCAUUUUCUAAGUAAGCCUACAUAUAAGGUUGCUGUUCAGCUCUUCCGAUACGAGGAAUGUCCUAAAAUACAAGGAAUCCUUUUAAGCAUAUUCAAAUUGAUGAAAACAGUGAGCUACCAAACUUUUUAAACACCUAAACCCAGAAAAAUUAUUUCAUUGGCUAGGUACUUAAAUUACUUCCAAGGAAAUAAGUGAUUUAAGUCAAUGGAAAGUUCAACUGAGAAGAAAAACAUCUUUAUUAUAAAACUGGCACAGCAGGAAACUUACUUAGAGCCUGAGCAGUUGUUUGUUGAUUUUACUCUGUGCAAAUAAUCACAGCCAAGGGCAGAUUCCUUGCCUCCUUUCCAUAGCCUGUACCUGAAGUGCUUACACUUUAAUUUAUUAGCGGAAUUCAAUGAAAUGCCUAUCGUACCCCUUAAAAACUGGAGUCCACCUUUUGGUAAACCUUAGUGUGCAGGAGCCUAAGGUUACAAUUCAAAACAAUCCUCGCUUCCUUUGGCUUUGGAGCACAAAGUUAGUUUGGGAAAGACCUCUUUUGGAAAAGUCCUGUUGUUGGCACACAAGUGUCAGGUCACCGGCUAGGAUGAAGGCUCCUGUCUCUGGUCACUACAUCAGGGAUCUGGUUUAUAAGACUUCAAGCUAGCAUACUAAAGGGAAUGCACUCUUCUGGGUUUUGGUUUGUGUUUUAUGUUUUUGUCUUUUGAGGGCUGCACCCUCGGCAUUUGGAAGUCCUCAGGCAGGGGUCAAAUCGGAGCUGCAGCUGCCAGCCACAGCCACAGCAACGCAGGAUCUAAGCUGCAUCUGUGAUCUUCACCACAGCUCAGGACAACGCAGGGUCCCCAACCUACUGAUUAAAGUCAGUGAACCCGCAUCCUCAUGGAUACUAGUUGGCUUCAUUACCACUGAGCCAGGGAGAGAAAACCUCUUCUAGGAUUUUUGGCCUUUCCUUUCUUUUUUCUUAAUAUGUACAACUAGUAUAUCAAAUAAUGUAUAUCUACCUCCCUCCUUCAAGUUCCCAUUGUGCCCUGAAAGCUGUGUCCCCUCAAGUCAGUGUCUUAGUUUCACUCACAUUAAGAAGACACCCCCUGGGAGUUCCCGGCAUGGCUCAGUGGUAACAAAGCCGACUAGUAUCCAUGAGGACACAGGUUCAAUCCCUGGCCUCAUUCAGUGGUUAAGGAUCUGGCAUUGCCAUGAGCUGUGGAGUAGGUCACAGAUGUGGCUCAGAUC
This 5593-nucleotide long non-coding RNA is filed under the name Sus scrofa (pig). RNAcentral describes it as "lncRNA (ENSSSCG00035060118.1)". Lineage: Eukaryota; Metazoa; Chordata; Mammalia; Artiodactyla; Suidae. The record is from RNAcentral.